RNAcentral lists this ribosomal RNA (1392 nucleotides) under uncultured bacterium. RNAcentral describes it as "bacterial SSU rRNA". It matches the Rfam family "Bacterial small subunit ribosomal RNA". The record is from RNAcentral.
AGAGUUUGAUCCUGGCUCAGGACGAACGCUGUCGGCGCGCCUAACACAUGCAAGUCGAACGAAGUUGCUUUGAAUGAAUUCUUCGGAAGGAAUUUGAUUCAACUUAGUGGCGGACGGGUGAGUAACGCGUGAGUAACCUGCCUUUCAGAGGGGGAUAACGUCUGGAAACGGACGCUAAUACCGCAUAACAUAUUGGUUUCGCAUGGAGCUGAUAUCAAAGGAGCAAUCCGCUGAAAGAUGGACUCGCGUCCAAUUAGCUAGUUGGUGAGGUAACGGCCCACCAAGGCGACGAUUGGUAGCCGGACUGAGAGGUUGAACGGCCACAUUGGGACUGAGACACGGCCCAGACUCCUACGGGAGGCAGCAGUGGGGAAUAUUGCACAAUGGGGGAAACCCUGAUGCAGCGACGCCGAGUGAGGGAAGAAGGUUUUCGGAUUGUAAACCUCUGUCCUUGGUGAAGAUAAUGACGGUAACCAAGGAGGAAGCUACGGCUAACUACGUGCCAGCAGCCGCGGUAAUACGUAGGUAGCGAGCGUUGUCCGGAAUUACUGGGUGUAAAGGGAGCGUAGGCGGGAUUGCAAGUUGAAUGUUAAAUCUAUGGGCUCAACCCAUAGCCGCGUUCAAAACUGCAGUUCUUGAGUGAAGUAGAGGCAGGCGGAAUUCCUAGUGUAGCGGUGAAAUGCGUAAAUAUUAGGAGGAACACCAGUGGCGAAGGCGGCCUGCUGGGCUUUAACUGACGCUGAGGCUCGAAAGCGUGGGUAGCAAACAGGAUUAGAUACCCUGGUAGUCCACGCUGUAAACGAUGAUUACUAGGUGUGGGGGGACUGACCCCUUCCGUGCCGGAGUUAACACAAUAAGUAAUCCACCUGGGGAGUACGACCGCAAGGUUGAAACUCAAAGGAAUUGACGGGGGCCCGCACAAGCAGUGGAGUGUGUGGUUUAAUUCGAAGCAACGCGAAGAACCUUACCAAGUCUUGACAUCCCUCUGACCGUUCCUUAAUCGGAACUUUCCUUCGGGACAGAGGAGACAGGUGGUGCAUGGUUGUCGUCAGCUCGUGUCGUGAGAUGUUGGGUUAAGUCCCGCAACGAGCGCAACCCCUAUCCCCAGUAGCCAGCGGUUCGGCCGGGCACUCUGAGGAGACUGCCAGGGAUAACCUGGAGGAAGGCGGGGAUGACGUCAAAUCAUCAUGCCCCUUAUGAUUUGGGCUACACACGUGCUACAAUGGCGUAAACAAAGGGAAGCGAGCCUGCGAAGGUAAGCAAAUCCCAAAAAUAACGUCCCAGUUCGGACUGCAGUCUGCAACUCGACUGCACGAAGCUGGAAUCGCUAGUAAUCGCGGAUCAGAAUGCCGCGGUGAAUACGUUCCCGGGUCUUGCACUAACCGCCCGUCA